This is a non-coding RNA of Cricetulus griseus (Chinese hamster), 1346 nucleotides long. NCBI's taxonomy places the organism in Eukaryota, Metazoa, Chordata, Mammalia, Rodentia, Cricetidae. The record is from RefSeq and is a predicted model, not a curated record.
AGUUCCAGGGUAUCCAACACCCUCAUACAAACAUCCAUGCAGGCAAAAACACAAUGCAUAAGAAUAAAAAAAAAAUAAAUGACUAAAAAAAAUAAUUAGGGCCAUUUUGAAAUUUCAUUUAUAUUAACUUGGGUCCUUAAAAACAAUGCUGGGGGAACAAUCCUCUUUUAGGAUUACCGGUGAGAGUUGAAAGCCAGAUACGUGGUUCUUCUUAAUGUUCAUUUUUAUUUAGGAUGAGUUAUGCUAAGCAAAGCUGCAGGAGAAAGGAGCACUUGAGCAGUUACCUUUAUUUCUAGAUGUUUCCUUCAUCGUGAUUGAGCAUAUUUAAAAGGUUUUCAUAAAUCUAUCUUCUUACUUUUUCCUUGAACCAGGGUUAGCUUGAGGAUGUAGGAAGAAUUUGGAACUUAGAUACUAACUUACCUAGAUAGUAGGUAAGUAAGUGGAUACUCCUUUGCAAGCCAAGCAAUAUGGUAAUUGCCUCUGAUGUAUAAUUUCUCAGUACCCCCAUGGGGAACACUUUUUAUCUUCAGUUUUCAGGUUAGGAGAGAGGCCAAGAUGACUCCUCCAACUGUUCCAUGUUGAAGAUAGAAUUCAAACUUAGCCUGACUCCUUGGGCUCUGAAUCUCUACUUCCAAACUGGACCAAAGGGAACUUGAAGCAGGGCCACAAAGCUUCAAGUGGGUUGUUUAAAAAACAACAACAGAAAACCAAACCAGGGAGGAGAGGCUGGGAUGAUAAAAAGGCUUUUCCCAAAAGAAAUGGUCAGGAGUUCGAAUAACCUGCAGUGAGAUCAUCGAGGAAUGGCAUAUUUAAAAAGGCUGUGAGGGGGCCUAGAAAGAUUGUUCAAGAAUUAAGAGUGAGUGCUUGCUGCUCUUGAAGAGGAUCUGAAUUCAGUUCCCAGCACCCAAGUCAGGAGGCUUACAACUGCCUAUAACUAGCUCCAGAGGGUCUGAGGCUCUGACCUCCCUGGCACCUGCAUGCAUUAGCAUAUACCCCCACACAGAUGCACAAUUUCAAGACAGUGAGAGCCAGCCUUCUAGGGAGGAUUGCUGGCAGUUGGAGCACAGUCUGGCCUGCAACGAAGAACCCUGACUCCAGACACAGGAGGACAAUGGAGUGCUCAUGCUGGAAUGACGAUGACAUACUGCCCACUUGGUGGAUUGCUGUGCACCCAGAUGAGGCGGUACAAGUUUUGGAACACAUGUUUUGAGCAUGUAGAAAGUAUGUGAUGAGUGGUGGCUGUUACUGUUGCAAUGUAAUGCCUACUUUAUCUGGACUUUGACUAUCCACAAUUGUAACCUUCCUUUUUUUUUUUUUUUUUUUUUUUUUUUUUUUUUUUUUUUUUC